This is a non-coding RNA of Aaosphaeria arxii CBS 175.79, 102 nucleotides long. The record is from the annotation of a RefSeq genome assembly. Lineage: Eukaryota; Fungi; Ascomycota; Dothideomycetes; Pleosporales.
GCAUCGGUGGUCCAGUGGUAGGAUAAUUGCCUUCCAUGAGAUCACUUGACCAGUGAUCACGUGAUCUAGCAAUUGGCACGGGUUCGAUUCCCGUCCGAUGCA